AUGCGCGCUGGCGGCGUGCCUCAUCCCUGCCAGUCGCGCGAACAGACGAGGAGCUUGCUCCUCUGACGUUAGCGGCGGACGGGUGAGUAACACGUGGAUAACCUACCUAUAAGACUGGGAUAACUUCGGGAAACCGGAGCUAAUACCGGAUAAUAUAUUGAACCGCAUGGUUCAAUAGUGAAAGACGGUUUUGCUGUCACUUAUAGAUGGAUCCGCGCCGCAUUAGCUAGUUGGUAAGGUAACGGCUUACCAAGGCAACGAUGCGUAGCCGACCUGAGAGGGUGAUCGGCCACACUGGAACUGAGACACGGUCCAGACUCCUACGGGAGGCAGCAGUAGGGAAUCUUCCGCAAUGGGCGAAAGCCUGACGGAGCAACGCCGCGUGAGUGAUGAAGGUCUUCGGAUCGUAAAACUCUGUUAUUAGGGAAGAACAAAUGUGUAAGUAACUAUGCACGUCUUGACGGUACCUAAUCAGAAAGCCACGGCUAACUACGUG
This 496-nucleotide ribosomal RNA is filed under the name uncultured bacterium. RNAcentral describes it as "partial 16S ribosomal RNA". It matches the Rfam family "Bacterial small subunit ribosomal RNA", at positions 29 to 507 of the family's 1533-position model. The record is from RNAcentral.